Non-coding RNA from Ceratotherium simum simum (southern white rhinoceros), 1100 nucleotides. The record is from RefSeq and is a predicted model, not a curated record. Lineage: Eukaryota; Metazoa; Chordata; Mammalia; Perissodactyla; Rhinocerotidae.
GAAGCAUGGGAGGAAGGUAAGGUGCGGCUGGGUGAAGAGCUGCCGUUUUGAACAAGGCGGUCAGGAAAAGUUUUACUGUUAAGGUGACAGUUGAGCAAAAACCUAAAAGUGGUAAGGAGGUGCAUUAUGUGGCUAUGGCGGGGGGGUGGGUCCGGGUGGAAGGAACAGCAAAUGCAAAAGCUAUGAGGCACAAGUGUGUCCAGUGGGUUGGAGAAAUAGCAGGGAAGCCAAUGUGGCUGCAGUGGGUGAACAAAGAGAAGGAGAAAGGAGAGAAGGGGCGGGAAGGGGAGGAGGCAGGAAGGAAGAGGUGGAGAGGCCAUGGGGUAACGACGGAGCCAGACUGUGUAGCCUUGAACCUUAGAGGGAGAGAAAUUUGAAAUAGCAGGUAUAGAUAACAUUUUGAGGAAUUUUGCCGUAGGUGAAAGAGAUCAGAGAAACUGGAUGACAGCUAUAGGUAGAUAUAGUUUCAAGAGAGAAAAAUUUUGAUGUGGGAGAAAUUAUUCUAUUUGAAAGCUGGUGGGAAUAAUCUAGUAGAGAGGAGAACACUGAUGAUGCAAGAAGGUAGGCAACUGCUGAGAUGACUGGAGCACAGACAGCUCAUGCCUGGUAACAGGAGAAAACGAGUAUCUGGGCACAGAUUCAAGCACGUGGGUGGGAGUAACGGUGGGAGCUGGUGGGAGUCCUCUCCUGAUGGCUUUCAUCUUCUCAAUGAUGUAGGAAGCAAGGCCAUGGGCUGAGCGAAAGGAUGAGGAGGAGGGAGGUUUGAAGACAGAGGAGAAGGAAUGAAAUAGCGCUCUGGGAGAAUAAGAGAGUGACUAGACCAGGGACAUGUGGUUUAAUGGGCAGGCAGCAUUAAGGGCCCCCUGAAAGUCAGCAGCCACGAUAAAAUGAGAGUAUCCAGCUCAGUUAUGAGUUUCUCUUUAAGAUUCAAAUUGGGUGCUCCAGGAAAGCAAGUGGCAAAUCCAAACAGAACGGGAACUUGAACUCGCUUCUCUGUAUCCUAGCCCAGCAACUGCAUUUUGCAGCUUUUAGAAUUUCCUCAAAAAUGACAAUUUGUUACCAUGGCCAUAAUCAAAAAAGCAUUGCUUGAGACUUGGGUU